CCUACGGGAGGCAGCAGUGAGGAAUAUUGGUCAAUGGACGAGAGUCUGAACCAGCCAAGUAGCGUGAAGGAUGACUGCCCUAUGGGUUGUAAACUUCUUUUAUAAAGGAAUAAAACGAGGCACGUGUGCCUUUUUGAAUGUACUUUAUGAAAAAGGAUCGGCUAACUCCGUGCCAGCAGCCGCGGUAAUACGGAGGAUGCGAGCGUUAUCCGGAUUUAUUGGGUUUAAAGGGUGCGCAGGCGGGCCAUUAAGCCGGCGGUGAAAUUGCGGGGCUCAACCCCGCCGCGCCGUUGAAACUGGGUGCCUUGAGUGCGUCAGAGGCAUGCGGAAUGCGCGGUGUAGCGGUGAAAUGCAUAGAUAUCGCGCAGAACCCCGAUUGCGAAGGCAGCGUGCCGUGCCGCCACUGACGCUGAGGCACGAAAGCGCGGGUAUCGAACAGGAUUAGAUACCCGUGUAGUC
This 459-nucleotide ribosomal RNA is filed under the name uncultured bacterium. RNAcentral's name for it is "partial 16S ribosomal RNA". It matches the Rfam family "Bacterial small subunit ribosomal RNA", at positions 338 to 795 of the family's 1533-position model. The record is from RNAcentral.